This 352-nucleotide unclassified non-coding RNA is filed under the name soil metagenome. RNAcentral describes it as "partial contains 5.8S ribosomal RNA, internal transcribed spacer 2, and large subunit ribosomal RNA". The stretch from base 1 to 120 matches the Rfam family "5.8S ribosomal RNA", at positions 35 to 154 of the family's 154-position model. The record is from RNAcentral.
GAUGAAGAACGCAGCGAAAUGCGAUAACUAAUGUGAAUUGCAGAAUUCCGUGAAUCAUCGAGUCUUUGAACGCACAUUGCGCCCGCCAGUAUUCUGGCGGGCAUGCCUGUUCGAGCGUCAUUACAACCCUCAGGCCCCCGGGCCUGGCGUUGGGGAUCGGCGGAGCCCCCCGUGGGCACACGCCGUCCCCCAAAUGCAGUGGCGGUCCCGCCGCAGCUUCCAUCGCGUAGUAGCUAACACCUCGCGACUGGAGAGCGGCGCGGCCACGCCGUAAAACACCCAACUCUUCUGAAGUUGACCUCGAAUCAGGUAGGAAUACCCGCUGAACUUAAGCAUAUCAAUAAGCGGAGGA